This 301-nucleotide ribosomal RNA is filed under the name uncultured bacterium. Its description in RNAcentral is "partial 16S ribosomal RNA". It matches the Rfam family "Bacterial small subunit ribosomal RNA", at positions 509 to 807 of the family's 1533-position model. The record is from RNAcentral.
CAGUCGCCACGGUAACACCGAGGGUGCAAGCGUUAAUCGGAAUUACUGGGCGUAAAGCGCGCGUAGGUGGUUUGUUAAGUUGGAUGUGAAAUCCCCGGGCUCAACCUGGGAACUGCAUCCAAAACUGGCAAGCUAGAGUAUGGUAGAGGGUGGUGGAAUUUCCUGUGUAGCGGUGAAAUGCGUAGAUAUAGGAAGGAACACCAGUGGCGAAGGCGACCACCUGGACUGAUACUGACACUGAGGUGCGAAAGCGUGGGGAGCAAACAGGAUUAGAUACCCGUGUAGUCCCUGUCUCUUAUAC